AGUGAACGCUGGCGGUAGGCCUAACACAUGCAAGUCGAACGGCAGCACAGUAAGAGCUUGCUCUUACGGGUGGCGAGUGGCGGACGGGUGAGGAAUACAUCGGACUCUACUUUUUCGUGGGGGAUAACGUAGGGAAACUUACGCUAAUACCGCAUACGACCUACGGGUGAAAGCAGGGGAUCUUCGGACCUUGCGCGAUUGAAUGAGCCGAUGUCGGAUUAGCUAGUUGGCGGGGUAAAGGCCCACCAAGGCGACGAUCCGUAGCUGGUCUGAGAGGAUGAUCAGCCACACUGGAAGUGAGACACGGUCCAGACUCCUACGGGAGGCAGCAGUGGGGAAUAUUGGACAAUGGGCGCAAGCCUGAUCCAGCCAUACCGCGUGGGUGAAGAAGGCCUUCGGGUUGUAAAGCCCUUUUGUUGGGAAAGAAAAGCAGCAGGUUAAUACCCCGCUGUUCUGACGGUACCCAAAGAAUAAGCACCGGCUAACUUCGUG
Molecule: ribosomal RNA, 492 nt
Filed under: uncultured bacterium
Lineage: Bacteria
Description: partial 16S ribosomal RNA
Rfam family: Bacterial small subunit ribosomal RNA
Source: RNAcentral